Molecule: non-coding RNA, 996 nt
Organism: Xyrichtys novacula (pearly razorfish)
Lineage: Eukaryota; Metazoa; Chordata; Actinopteri; Labriformes; Labridae
Source: the annotation of a GenBank genome assembly
UCCUCCUCUCCUCUCUUUCUCUCUCCUUUAUUUGUUUACUUUCCUUCUCUCCUUUCUUUUCAUUUAUUUGUUUCCUUUCCUUCUUUCUCUCCUUUAUUUGUUUCCUUCCCUCCUCUCCUCUUUAGCACAUGAGCUUCAAUGUGUCCUGGCUGCAGGAGGAGUAGAGGAGGGGGGCGGAGACGUGGAAACGGUGGCCCUUCAUUGGACGAAAGUAGGUCAGCCCCGCCCACUCAUGUGACCCAGCAUUCCUCUGUGCAGCCUCAGUGUUCCAGUGUGUGUGUGUGCGUGUGUGUGUGUUCGUCAUCAUAUUUAAUAAAGAUUUGAAUGUCAAACAAUAAAAAAACUUUAAAAACACAGUAAAAACUUUAGUUUUCAUGAGGUUUGAGUUUCUGCAGUUUUGACUUUUUUGUUCAGAAUUCAGUUUAAAAGUUUGAAACUUAUUAAAAUUUAAAUCUAAACAAUAAAUACAGACUAAAAUAAAGUUUUUAAAAUCACAUUAAAACUUUCAAGAAAAAAAACUGCUGCUUUAACUUUGAUUUACUUUUCUGCACAUACUUUUCAUGGAGAUCUAUGGAGACUGAAUCAUUUUUUGGACUGACUCCCAGUGGACAGUCUAGGAACUGCAGUUUUUAGGACAUUAAUAUCUGCUUCUUUAUUAAGCUCUUAUUAUUAAUGGAAGUAAAAUCAAAUAAAGCUAAACAAGAAAAAACAUUUUUUUAAUUUUUUUAAUUUUGUAAUAAAACUUUCACUUUUUGACGUUCGGAGAAUUAAACAGACUUCGGACAAAUUUCCUGUUAAACGUGUUCAGUUUGUCGGCUCUAUUAUCAGAUCAGUUUUAAUAUUUUAUUUCAUUUUUUACUGAUAAAAAGAGAGACAAUAAUAAGCCAUAGAGACUGCUUUAAUGUUUUGUUUAAAUGUUUGUUUCUGUUUGAAAGUCAGAUUUACUUUGGAGCUCUACAGAGAUCGACCCAUUUUUGGACACAGCCUCCAGUGGAC